This 77-nucleotide transfer RNA is filed under the name bacterium. RNAcentral describes it as "tRNA-Arg". It matches the Rfam family "tRNA". From Rfam's summary of the family: Transfer RNA (tRNA) molecules are approximately 80 nucleotides in length. Their secondary structure includes four short double-helical elements and three loops (D, anti-codon, and T loops). The record is from RNAcentral.
GUGCCUGUAGCUCAGUUGGAUAGAGCGUGAGGUUGCGGACCUCAAGGUCGUGGGUUCGAAUCCCUCCAGGCACGCCA